CUCUAACUUGAACUUGAAAUAAAUUCCCUCAUUCUCCAGGUGGGCGCCUGAUGCUGACUUAAAACCUGAAAUGAAUUCCCUCAUUCUCCAGAUGGGCGUAUGAUGACUUAAAACUUGAAAUAAAUUCCCUCGUUCUCCAGGUGGGCGCCUGAUGACUUAAAACUUGAAAUAAAUUCCCUCGUUCUCCAGGUGGGCGCCUGAUGACUUAAAACUUGAAAUAAAUUCCCCAUUCUCCAGGUGGGCGUCUGCUGACUUAAAAACUUGAAAUAAAUUCCCUCGUUUUUCAGGUGGGUGCCUGAUGACUUAAAACUUGAAAUAAAUUCCCUCGUUCUCCAGGUGUGCGCCUGAUGACUUAAAACUUAAAAUAAAUUCCCUCGUUCUCCAGGUGGGCGCCUGAUACUACAACAAAAU
RNAcentral lists this long non-coding RNA (411 nucleotides) under Nicotiana tabacum (common tobacco). RNAcentral's name for it is "long non-coding RNA (NTAB_LNC017785)". Lineage: Eukaryota; Viridiplantae; Streptophyta; Magnoliopsida; Solanales; Solanaceae. The record is from RNAcentral.